AGACGGGGGGGGCGAGCGUUGUUCGGAAUUACUGGGCGUAAAGGGCGCGCAGGCGGCUUGGGAAGUCUUGGGUGAAAGCCCCCAGCUCAACUGGGGAAUGGCCUGAGAAACCACUAGGCUGGAGUGCUGGAGAGGGAAGCGGAAUUCCCGGUGGAGCGGUGAAAUGCGUAGAUAUCGGGAGGAACACCAGAGGCGAAGGCGGCUUCCUGGACAGACACUGACGCUGAGGCGCGAAAGCUAGGGGAGCAAACGGGAUUAGAAACCCCAGUAGUCC
RNAcentral lists this ribosomal RNA (274 nucleotides) under uncultured bacterium. RNAcentral's name for it is "partial 16S ribosomal RNA". It matches the Rfam family "Bacterial small subunit ribosomal RNA", at positions 523 to 796 of the family's 1533-position model. The record is from RNAcentral.